This is a long non-coding RNA of Oncorhynchus tshawytscha (Chinook salmon), 704 nucleotides long. The record is from Ensembl. NCBI's taxonomy places the organism in Eukaryota, Metazoa, Chordata, Actinopteri, Salmoniformes, Salmonidae.
CCAUGUUUCAGUCGAUAUUAUGGAGUUAAUUUGGAAAAAAGUUCGGCAUUUUGAAGACUGAAUUUUCGUUUUUUUUUGGUAGCCAAACGUGACGCACCAAACGGAGCAAUUUCUCCUAAACAAAUAAUCUUUCAGGAAAAACUGAGCAUUUGCUAUCUAACUGAGAGUCUCCUCAUUGAAAACAACUGAAGUUCUUCAAAGGUUUUUUUCGUUUGCCAAACGUGACGCACCAAACGGAGCGAUUUCUCCUAAACAAAUAAUCUUUCAGGAAAAACUGAGCAUUUGCUAUCUAACUGAGAGUCUCCUCAUUGAAAACAUCUGAAGUUCUUCAAAGGUUGAAGGACCACCCUGACACCCUGCAAAUGUAAAGAACUUGUUGUGAACCUGCCGGCCACCAGGAUUAUCACCAUAUCCAAAUAUAUUAUUCAGGAGUGUGCAACAUCACCAUGUUGAAUAGAAAUAGAUUCCCAAAUGGUAUUGUUUAUCAUGCAGAUGUAUCAGGACAUUGUCAUUUAUGAAGCCCAUUCUUAAAUACAGAUGUAAUUUCUCUCCCAGGAGAUUGCACUGUGUGCAAGUCUUCAAUUAGUUGAAUUAGGUGUUAGUGUAGGGCUAGAACAAAAACCUGUAAACUCCUGUCCUGUGUAUAAACAAAACCUGUGGCUGUCAUGACACAAUUUGCCCUCAUGUACUGAACAAGCCUAUGA